AACGAACGCUGGCGGCAUGCCUAACACAUGCAAGUCGAACGAGAUCUUCGGGUCUAGUGGCGCACGGGUGCGUAACGCGUGGGAAUCUGCCCUUUGGUUCGGAAUAACAGUUGGAAACGACUGCUAAUACCGGAUGAUGACGAAAGUCCAAAGAUUUAUCGCCAGAGGAUGAGCCCGCGUAGGAUUAGCUAGUUGGUGUGGUAAAGGCGCACCAAGGCGACGAUCCUUAGCUGGUCUGAGAGGAUGAUCAGCCACACUGGGACUGAGACACGGCCCAGACUCCUACGGGAGGUAGCAGUGGGGAAUAUUGGACAAUGGGCGAAAGCCUGAUCCAGCAAUGCCGCGUGAGUGAUGAAGGCCUUAGGGUUGUAAAGCUCUUUUACCCGGGAUGAUAAUGACAGUACCGGGAGAAUAAGCUCCGACUAACUCCGUGCCAGCCGCCGCAGUAA
This 449-nucleotide ribosomal RNA is filed under the name uncultured bacterium. Its description in RNAcentral is "partial 16S ribosomal RNA". It matches the Rfam family "Bacterial small subunit ribosomal RNA", at positions 29 to 523 of the family's 1533-position model. The record is from RNAcentral.